RNAcentral lists this ribosomal RNA (1164 nucleotides) under Salmonella enterica subsp. enterica serovar Muenchen. RNAcentral's name for it is "partial 23S ribosomal RNA". It matches the Rfam family "Bacterial large subunit ribosomal RNA", at positions 711 to 1786 of the family's 2925-position model. The record is from RNAcentral. Lineage: Bacteria; Pseudomonadati; Pseudomonadota; Gammaproteobacteria; Enterobacterales; Enterobacteriaceae.
AGACCCGAAACCCGGUGAUCUAGCCAUGGGCAGGUUGAAGGUUGGGUAACACUAACUGGAGGACCGAACCGACUAAUGUUGAAAAAUUAGCGGAUGACCUGUGGCUGGGGGUGAAAGGCCAAUCAAACCGGGAGAUAGCUGGUUCUCCCCGAAAGCUAUUUAGGUAGCGCCUCGUGAAUUCAUCUCCGGGGGUAGAGCACUGUUUCGGCUAGGGGGCCAUCCCGGCUUACCAACCCGAUGCAAACUGCGAAUACCGGAGAAUGUUAUCACGGGAGACACACGGCGGGUGCUAACGUCCGUCGUGAAGAGGGAAACAACCCAGACCGCCAGCUAAGGUCCCAAAGUCAUGGUUAAGUGGGAAACGAUGUGGGAAGGCCCAGACAGCCAGGAUGUUGGCUUAGAAGCAGCCAUCAUUUAAAGAAAGCGUAAUAGCUCACUGGUCGAGUCGGCCUGCGCGGAAGAUGUAACGGGGCUAAACCAUGCACCGAAGCUGCGGCAGCGAACGUAUCACCCAAGACAACUUUGCGGAGUUGACGAUUGACGGAGCGAAGCGACGUCAAAGCGUUCAUUAAAGUCGAGUUGGCUUAGGGAUACGUUCGUUGGGUAGGGGAGCGUUCUGUAAGCCUGUGAAGGUGGCCUGUGAGGGUUGCUGGAGGUAUCAGAAGUGCGAAUGCUGACAUAAGUAACGAUAAAGCGGGUGAAAAGCCCGCUCGCCGGAAGACCAAGGGUUCCUGUCCAACGUUAAUCGGGGCAGGGUGAGUCGACCCCUAAGGCGAGGCCGAAAGGCGUAGUCGAUGGGAAACGGGUUAAUAUUCCCGUACUUGGUGUUACUGCGAAGGGGGGACGGAGAAGGCUAUGUUGGCCGGGCGACGGUUGUCCCGGUUUAAGCGUGUAGGUGUGUGUUCCAGGUAAAUCCGGUUCACUUUAACACUGAGGCGUGACGACGAGGCACUACGGUGCUGAAGCAACAAAUGCCCUGCUUCCAGGAAAAGCCUCUAAGCAUCAGGUAACAUCAAAUCGUACCCCAAACCGACACAGGUGGUCAGGUAGAGAAUACCAAGGCGCUUGAGAGAACUCGGGUGAAGGAACUAGGCAAAAUGGUGCCGUAACUUCGGGAGAAGGCACGCUGAUAUGUAGGUGAAGCGGUUUACCCGUGGAGCUGAA